Molecule: ribosomal RNA, 496 nt
Filed under: uncultured bacterium
Lineage: Bacteria
Description: partial 16S ribosomal RNA
Rfam family: Bacterial small subunit ribosomal RNA
Source: RNAcentral
AUGAACGCUGGCGGCGUGCCUAAUACAUGCAAGUCGAGCGAACAGAUGAGGAGCUUGCUCCUCUGACGUUAGCGGCGGACGGGUGAGUAACACGUGGAUAACCUACCUAUAAGACUGGGAUAACUUCGGGAAACCGGAGCUAAUACCGGAUAAUAUAUUGAACCGCAUGGUUCAAUAGUGAAAGACGGUUUUGCUGUCACUUAUAGAUGGAUCCGCGCCGCAUUAGCUAGUUGGUAAGGUAACGGCUUACCAAGGCAACGAUGCGUAGCCGACCUGAGAGGGUGAUCGGCCACAAUGGAACUGAGACACGGUCCAGACUCCUACGGGAGGCAGCAGUAGGGAAUCUUCCGCAAUGGGCGAAAGCCUGACGGAGCAACGCCGCGUGAGUGAUGAAGGUCUUCGGAUCGUAAAACUCUGUUAUUAGGGAAGAACAAAUGUGUAAGUAACUAUGCACGUCUUGACGGUACCUAAUCAGAAAGCCACGGCUAACUACGUG